Molecule: long non-coding RNA, 4566 nt
Organism: Gallus gallus (chicken)
Lineage: Eukaryota; Metazoa; Chordata; Aves; Galliformes; Phasianidae
Source: Ensembl
UGAAAAUUUGUCGUUGAUACUUAAGUGCUGACCGCAGCAACAGUUGAAUACACCUCGUUCUGUGGGGCAUCUCUUAAAAGAAAAAUAGCCUCAAAUCCAAUGGCAGCAAAGCCAUGGCUCUUUCUUUUUUUUUUUUUUUUUCUUUUUUUUUUUUUUCUUUUUCACACAAUGAGCAUCAGAUGCAGAGGAAGCUUUUCGGGCUUCCCUGCUUUCAUCCGUUAGGAGGAGCUUCAGGAGCUGUGUGCAAAGCAAGACCUCUGCCUGCAGCCCAGUGAGGACAAUGCUGGCAACAUUCACUGCUUUAUUUCACACAUUUCUGUGGGCUUUCAGUGACAGCAGCUGGUCUCUGGGCUAGGAGGGCAAAUGAAAAACACAAGAGCUGUUAUUGCAGAUAUGCUGUUUUUGAAGAGGAGAUAAUCCAACCAAAAGUACUGGCAAAUGUUUGUUCCUUAACGUACAGCCUUUAUUUUGCAGAAGCUUGCUAGUGGAAAAAAAAUAUGGGACCAACAAUUAUGCAAAUAUUGUUUUCUUCGCAAGGACAAAAUUAAAGCUGGUGUGCUUCAAGCUACACAUUUUUCCACAUCUCCCAUGUUUGGAUUUAAAGAAAGCUUACAUUUUUCAGCAGCGUUACAACUAAAUCUGUUUGGGACUGGGGAGACAAAAAUGCAAAGGAAACCAGACAUAAAGGAACGUAAAGAGAGAGAUGAAAUGAGAGUGGUAAUGGAGGAAGAAAACAUGAGAGAAAAUGCUGUUCCUAUAAAGACUGUAUGUCUAAGCCAGGCUUGCGGAGCUCCAGCCCAGGGGCUGGUGGGUGCCAACAGAGACGGACACUGCUGAUGGCUGCUGCCUCCCUGUGCCCCGGGCCUCCAAAGAGGCUGUGAAAUGUGGAACUGCAGAAGCAACACCGUGGGCCUGGAAGGAGCCAGGAGGAUGUGAGAAGGAGAGAUGGAGGAGAAAACAGUAUAAAUAUGUCAUAACGCUGCUAGUGACAAGCCGCUUGUCGCCGUCACAGACAAAAAUAAAUGAAUGGCAACCCUGUCAUCACAAAUGUAUGGAAAGAGCAUAAUAAUUAAGAAAUGAUCUGAAGUAACAACAUGACUAAUAGCAGAAUGGUAAGGAGCUGGUGGACAGCUGUCACAAUAGGCAGGUUCAGUCAUGGAGAGUGUUGCCAUGGAUUUCAAUAGAGCGCAGACUGACAAAGUUGCCUGCAGUCAAAUUAAAAUGGAAGAAGUUCCAAAAUGAGAGCAUACUCGAGAUCAUCUCCAGAAAUAAAAGCCUGCUUCAGCUCUAUUGGUGGCAGUGAAAGCCAAAAGCAGGGCACAGCUGUGGUAAGAAACAGAAAAAGCAGAAAACAGACAGUGUCCUGCACUGCCAACUCCUGUUGGAUGCUAUUCUGAACCUGAUGCAACAGAAAAAAGUCAAGGCUUCAAAAAAGAAACCUCUUCCUCAAUCCCCAAAAUCUUUGCUUUUGGACUUCUAGAGAGACCCCUUUAGAACAACAGCGUGCACAUAUUCCUAAUACAAUAUUUGCAAUAUUUUGUGGGUAGUCUAUGAGGGCUGGUCCAAAAGUAAUUUACCUUCUAUUUUAUGCUGAUAGCCUGCAAUGUAUGCUAUAGAGGUGUAUGCCGGAGUGGCAGCAGAGGUUGAACCUUCUCACCAAUGUUCUAUUGAAGGCCAUGUGACAGACGGCAGCAGAGGAGCAGUCUGACAGAAUAGCAUCUGACAUAGAAGUGUGGAUGAAGCAAAGGUGUGUCAUUGAAUUCCUCUGUGCAGAAAAAAUGGCACCCUUUGACAUUCACUGACACUUACUGAACGUUUAUGGAGACCAAACAGUGGAUGUGAGCACAAUGAGGUGGUGGGUGAUGAGUUUCAGCUGUGGCAACAGUGACAGUGGAUCACCUCCACUGGUGCAGAUGGUUACAAGCGUGGCAUGGAGACUCUUGCUUAUGCUGGUGAAAAUGCAUAGCUAAUGGUGGUGAUGGUGUUGAAAAACAGUAGCUGUGAAUUUGCUCUGUCAAAUAGUGUUAUUGUGCUCUUUGUAGCUGUUAUAGUUCCCAUGGAAAUGAAUAGGAGGCUUACUUUCAGGGUGACCUACAUAUUGCAUUGCUCUGAUGCUGUCAUUGAUCUGUGAAGUGAGAGAAUAACAAACUCCAGGUACUUAAAAGCUCCCAUUAUGAAACCCAGGCACAGAAAAUACAAGCUUAUUUGCCCACCCUGACCAAUAUACUCAUUGCAUUAAGGAAACUGAUUGAUGAUAGGUGACGUCUGGCACUUGCGUUUGCAUUUUAUGGCUUAAGAAUUGAGGUGGAGUACUAAAUAAAUUAAGGUGAUUCACAGUCAGUAAAAAUCAGCAUUCCCUAAGCACGUAUGAAAACACUGAAGUUAAAGCUGUAGAGACACAGAUAACAGCUGGCCUUGGAAUUAAAGCUUAAGUUUGCUUCCAACAUUAAUACUGUGGUACAAAGCCAAAAAAAUACAGAAAUGCCCCUCAUGCUAUUCUUGUAUUCUUAGAUAGGAAGAAAAUACAAAGCUUUCACUGAAAGUUACUCAAAAUCACAUUGUAUUUCUGGUAUACGGCCCCUGUAUUAAGGACCCAUUCCAGCAUUUAAUGUAUUACAUUUGAUUCUGCAUUGCAUGAGAAGUUAAUCAAAGGAUAUCAGGCUCUAUGGUCCACUCAGCAAAAGAUUUGGACUCUACGUCAUGGCUAAAUAUAUUUGUAAGGCACAGGGGAAGUUAAUGCACAAAGCGACCCUUCUGAGCAGUUUAUGUGCCAGUUUAUUGUAAGCUGAAAAUUGCUUCUGGAGAUGAAAGACAAUCUUUUCCAUUAUUAACUAUAACAUAAUAACACUUAAUGAUUCUGAAAUAGUUUCAAAGCCAGGGAUGAGAAUAUGCUCAUCAUAAUGCAACUUAACACUUCCGAAAGAGAGUGCAUUACUGAGAUAUUCACCUUUCAAACUCAGAAUAUGUGGAUGCAAGAAAAGCCUUAUCAUAGUGUAGACACCAUCACAAAUUUGUUCUGGAAUUUUCAUGGUCAUUUUUACAUAAAUAUAGUAUUCUUUAAGAUUUGUUGUGUAAAAUGUAUGCAGAAUCAGAAUUUAAGUAGGAAGGGACCCUUAAAGGUUGCAGGAAUGAUUUCAGAUAACAGUUUUGCAAUGUAAUCUCAUGACUGCAAAAGCUGUGUGCGUGUUCACCAUACUAAUCUCAGGUGAAUUGUGAUGAAUUUCUACAUGCUGUGGACUCCGGUGAUUUCUCAGGCCCAACAGUAGUGGUGAAGGCUUUAAUCAGCCAUGCUUAAGAGCAGCAGAGGGCAGAAAGACAUUUCUUUGGUCACUUCUGGUCAUUCUAAAACUUUUGCUGAUUUAUUAGGACAUGCUGCAAAUGACAACAAGGUAGAGAGGUGUGUGUGUGUAUUUUAUAAUCCCAUCCUGUUUUCUUAUAUUUAGAACACUUCUAAGAAAUAAGCAUGAUUUGCUCCUGCUGCUUUCUUUUCUUUUUUUCUUUCCUUUUUUUUUUUUUUUUUUUAACAUAAUUUCCUACAUUGGCACACAUCCAUUUUUUUCCCCCCCAGAAGGUCGUAUUGCAAGGUACACAUUUUUCCAUGCGGCAGUGUUAAACCUUUUCAUGUGUGAUAUAUUGCAGGCAGUUGAGCCAGAGGAAUUUGCAGCCAAUAUGCAAAUAAUUUCUGGAGUACAGCUCUUUAUUUUGCCCUUAUUGCUCAAACCCAGUCAGGGAAUCUUUGUGUGACUUGUGAGUAACCUCAAUGGCAAGGGAAGCUGUGGCUCACAGCGUUAUGUAGCUUUGUCUUUCUGCUACAGUAAUGCUGUUUAAAGAGGAGUUUUCUCUCCCAAGUCAGAGCUAAUCCUUAAUAAUAUUGUAAAGCUUCAGAGUCUUCUUCAUGACAGAAAGGGCACGUUCUACACAGAAUUAGAUUAUUUGUUAAAUUAGUCUUUGUAUUCCUCUCAUCUGUAAACAAUUAACAAAAUGCAAAUAUUGCCUAUGCAAAUGUGGCAGUAGGGAGAGACACUUAAUUUACCUUGGCAAAACUGAAUUUUCUCUCACCUCCAAUCCAUAUGCAAGAAGACAAAAAUACGGUCUCAUGCUGUGAUUGUCUUCAAUUGUAUUGCUCCAAGGAAAGAGCUGGCACUGAGGGAGCUGUACUGCAAUAUUGGGUCAGAAAGUCCACGAACUGAAGUAAAAAAGCAACGCUUAACGUACUGUAUUCAAAAAUUUGCCUCAGGUUUGUUAGUUUGUUGACUGGACUACGGAUUUUCAUUUUAAUUUCCUGUUCGUUUUAGUUUUCCUGAUGACAGCAAUGACAAUUCUAGAAUUUAUGAACAUUAUAAAAACUGUUUGGAAAGACACCGUGUGAUGGAUUCAUUCAUUAAAACCGCUGCAGUUUUUCACUGUGUUGUGGAAGUCACGGUGGUAAUGGUUUGCAUUGCAAAUGUGCAAAGUAGCAUAAAAUUCUUUGAACAUGAAUUUGUACCUCACUGCAAUAAUAAUAAAAAAGAAGAUUAAUGAGUGUUUUGCAUCUAGUCUAAUGAUUGGAAUACUCUCCAAGCAAAU